GACGAACGCUGGCGGCGUGCUUAACACAUGCAAGUCGAACGGAAAGGCCCUGCUUUUGUGGGGUGCUCGAGUGGCGAACGGGUGAGUAACACGUGAGUAACCUGCCCUUCACUUUGGGAUAACUUCAGGAAACUGGGGCUAAUACCGGACAGGAGCUCCUGCUGCAUGGUGGGGGUUGGAAAGUUUCGGCGGUUGGGGAUGGACUCGCGGCUUAUCAGCUUGUUGGUGGGGUAGUGGCAUACCAAGGCUUUGACGGGUAGCCGGCCUGAGAGGGUGACCGGGCACAUUGGGCCUGAGAUACGGCCCAGACUCGUACGGGAGGCAGCAGUGGGGAAUAUUGCACAAUGGGCGGAAGCCUGAUGCAGCAACGCCGCGUGCGGGAUGACGGCCUUCGGGUUGAGAACCGCUUUCGCUUGUGACGAAGCGUGAGUGACGGUAAUGGGUGAAGAAGCACCGGCUAACUACGUG
This 468-nucleotide ribosomal RNA is filed under the name uncultured bacterium. Its description in RNAcentral is "partial 16S ribosomal RNA". It matches the Rfam family "Bacterial small subunit ribosomal RNA", at positions 28 to 507 of the family's 1533-position model. The record is from RNAcentral.